CCGCAGACGGGAGGGCGCGGCGGGAGGCGGGCUGACUGCGCCCCGGGCGGCCGCAGGUCUCGGCUGGCCCCGGAGCAAGGGGGACGCGGCGGGCGGCUCGUGCGUGCCAAGCACGACAUGUCGGGGAGGCUGAGCAGCCCCGGAGGCCCAGUGAGCAUGGGGAGGGGCUAGACGAGGGAGGAACAACCAUUAGCGAGCUGGGGGCCGGGCAGCUCGGGACUCUAUUUCCCAGAGGGCGUAGCGGCCGCGACCGGAAGCGGCGCGCCUGAGGCCCAGUGCGCAGGCGCAUGCUUUGCUUUGGUCUAUAUAAGGAAGGUCGGCUCUCAUGCUCGUUCUUUCGUCCCUGAGAUACUUCUUUCGCAGUGUUGUGCGUCAUGUCUCGUCCUUGUUGGAGUAAUGUUCAGAUGGUUGGCAUGGUUAAGCGGUGCAGAACAGGGGUUGGAGGGAGAGGAGACGUCACCUUUGGGCCUCCAGGGAGAUGAGACUCCGUCUAUGAUCUUCGACUUCAUAAUUUCUUAAGGUUUGCUGGUGGCUGGUAGGCAUUGGAUGGAGGAUGAAUUCUGGAGUGGGAAAGGACUGGCCUGAGGUUGCCAUGGAUGCCAGUGUGUUCUGAUCUUCCUUAAUUUCAAUGUCCUGAAACAGGUACUUCUAGAAAACAGAUCAGCAGUUUCCGGCUGGCCCAGUCCCAUAAGGAUUUUAUACAUUUGGUCCCAAGGGCUGUGUGUGACCCGAAAAGGACUUAAUUUUUUAGGCUGGGAUGUGGCGUGGUAUGCACUGCUAUUGAAAAUACUGAAUUGUACAGACCUAUCUGUAGAAAUAAAAUCUGACCGGGUA
This is a long non-coding RNA of Microtus oregoni (creeping vole), 834 nucleotides long. RefSeq lists it as uncharacterized. The record is from RefSeq and is a predicted model, not a curated record. NCBI's taxonomy places the organism in Eukaryota, Metazoa, Chordata, Mammalia, Rodentia, Cricetidae. The transcript is spliced from 5 exons.